Eucalyptus grandis is the source of this 938-nucleotide long non-coding RNA. RefSeq lists it as uncharacterized. NCBI's taxonomy places the organism in Eukaryota, Viridiplantae, Streptophyta, Magnoliopsida, Myrtales, Myrtaceae. The record is from RefSeq and is a predicted model, not a curated record. The transcript has 2 exons.
CAGAAUUCACUUACUUGGUUUUUCUUUGAAUUUUGUUCACAGUGGCUGCAGGAGAUAACAUUCCUUUGUGGUGUUGAACCGGUGUGAGUUGCCAAAUCCAAAAAAAUUGCUCCUACUGUGAAGUAUGUAACUUACAUAUCUCCAAAUGAAGAUGAGCUCUUUGCAAUGGCAGAUGCUCUAUCUCCUGGGAAGUUAUAUGGUUUGAGCGAAAGGUAUAAGAGCAAAAAGAGUUGUCCUCCAGAAUCUCUCAUCAAAAUUUAAAACCCGCAAUAGUUCUUUUGCUUGAGAAGGGAAUAAAAAUUGUAGUCGUAACCAUAGGUGCACAAGGAGUAUUUCUAUGCCCUAAAGAGGGAUCUAUAUUGACAAGAGCUUUUGUGGAGAAACCCCAAUGGCUUGGCAUAAAUUCAGAACUCCACAAACUGAUCUCAUCUGAUUGCCAUUCACAUAAGUUUCAUGAUGCCAGACAUAUUGAGGGAACCUCUCAUCUCUUUGCUUUGCAUCUUCCUGGCCUUCCUUCAUCUGUUAAGAAGCUUACCGGUGCUGGUGAUUGCUUGGUCGGUGCUACACUUGCAUCGAUAUGUGAAGGUUUGAACAUUAUAAAAGCCAUCUCAGUCAGUAUUGCAGCAGUGAAAGCCACUGUUGAGGCAGAUUCGAAUGUACCUUUGGCGUUUGAUUUAAUUGGAGUUGCAGGUGUGAAUAUUCUUUCAAUAAAGAUGGCAGGAAAUUUAUGCAUUCUUGGAUAUUAUAUCAAUUUGGUUUGAUUCUACUUCUUUUGUUGUGUCAAUUUCAAUAAUUUCAGUAGAGUGGGCAAGAAACAAAUUGGUGUAAUGAAAACGGGUGCAUCUCAUCAAGGAAUGUGACCAUGCAAGUUGUAGAGGUUGUUUCUGAACAUGAUAUUUUCUCUCAAUAGGAACAAGCUAAUGAAUUUGCUCAGAAUA